AAGAGAUUAGUUAAUUUUUUUAUAACAUUAAUUUGUCAAAUUAAAAUAAUUUUUUAAAUAUCACUUA
Molecule: transfer RNA, 67 nt
Filed under: Greenidea psidii
Lineage: Eukaryota; Metazoa; Arthropoda; Insecta; Hemiptera; Aphididae
Description: tRNA-Asp
Source: RNAcentral